UCGGCUUAGAGUUUGAUCAUGGCUCAGAUUGAACGCUGGCGGCAGGCUUAACACAUGCAAGUCGAGCGGUAGGGGAGCUUGCUCCCCACGAGCGGCGGACGGGUGAGUAAUGUCUGGGAAACUGCCUGAUGGAGGGGGAUAACUACUGGAAACGGUAGCUAAUACCGCAUAACGUCGCAAGACCAAAGAGGUUCGUCUUGCCAUCAGAUGUGCCCAGAUGGGAUUAGCUAGUAGGUGGGGUAAUGGCUCACCUAGGCGACGAUCCCUAGCUGGUCUGAGAGGAUGACCAGCCACACUGGAACUGAGACACGGUCCAGACUCCUACGGGAGGCAGCAGUGGGGAAUAUUGCACAAUGGGCGCAAGCCUGAUGCAGCCAUGCCGCGUGUGUGAAGAAGGCCUUCGGGUUGUAAAGCACUUUCAGCGAGGAGGAAGGUGGUGAGUAAUCUCAUCAAUUGACGUUACUCGCAGAAGAAGCACCGGCUAACUCCGUGCCAGCAGCCGCGGUAAUACGGAGGGUGCAAGCGUUAAUCGGAAUUACUGGCGUAAAGCGCACGCAGGCGGUUUGUUAAGUCAGAUGUGAAAUCCCCGGGCUCAACCUGGGAACUGCAUUUGAAACUGCAAGCUAGAGUCCU
This 633-nucleotide ribosomal RNA is filed under the name uncultured Serratia sp. RNAcentral's name for it is "bacterial SSU rRNA". It matches the Rfam family "Bacterial small subunit ribosomal RNA", at positions 1 to 650 of the family's 1533-position model. Lineage: Bacteria; Pseudomonadati; Pseudomonadota; Gammaproteobacteria; Enterobacterales; Yersiniaceae. The record is from RNAcentral.